Non-coding RNA from Chrysemys picta bellii (western painted turtle), 4324 nucleotides. The record is from RefSeq and is a predicted model, not a curated record. NCBI's taxonomy places the organism in Eukaryota, Metazoa, Chordata, Testudines, Emydidae.
UGAAUGCAAAGCAUAAAUCUCUUCUCCCCCGCCCCUUCCAAGUUUGGGGACAUUGAGAAAGGAGUCUCGUUAUCAUUAUCAGGCUGUUUCUGUAGAUAAAGUGGCACAAGGUCUCUGAUGGUCACUGACGCAGAGCUCAGAUGUUUUUGGUGCAAAUCCAGAGAUGUAUUUACUUACUAGAAUAUACAGAACACAGGGAAGCAGUGCCAACAGGACACAGCACAGAGGAAAGCAAAGAGAAGAAUACCACGUAAUACAAUCUGUACAGCUGGACUGCCAGGUAAGGACAAACAUUAGCUCUCCCCUCUGCCAUCCCAACUGUGAUCAAUGAACAGCCAAACAUUAAACAGAAGGGGCACAACAAUUUGACAGCCUAGGACAGCGAACAGAGGACAGGCAAACAGAGGGAGGUUUCCUGGGAGUUUAUCUGUGGGGAGUUCGCAGAGUGUUUUUGCCUUUCAGGCUCCUGGGACCAGUAGAUACAACAUCUGAGGAGCCUUUUAGAAGGAAGAUAUGGAUAGUGAGCGCUCAGCUGUUGUGACCUGCUCAGAAUGUGCCAUAUUUGUCUCUCUCCCAGAGGACAGAAGCGACUUUGUACGAAGUGCAAGCUAGUCUGCGUAUUGGAAGAGAAGGUUAGAGGACUAGAGAACCAAGUAUCAACCCUGCGUUGCCUCAGAGAAAAAUGAUUUUCUGGAUAGAAGUCGGUGUUUGGUUCUGGACGCAAAAUGUGCUGAAGAAUCAGAGAGUGCAGAGUAGAGCGGGGAAGAAUAUUGACAGCAUGUGACCUCCAGAGGAAGAAAGAGGAGAACCCACGUACCCCCAAUGCAGAUAGAGGUGACAGUUUUCAGGCUCUCUGCACAGGUACUAAUGCAGAGAAGGAUUUGGAAGAGCCCUUUGAGGGAGGGAGUCAGAAGGAGACUCCGUCGGCCAGAAGGCAUGGGAUGCAUUGUCCUAGGGAUGGAGGUUCCAUGACCACCACCCCCAAGAGGAGGAGACGGGUGGGAGUGGUAGGGGACUCCCUCCUCAGGGAGGGAGUACAGAGUCAUCUAUCUGUCGACCGGACCGGGAGACUUGAGAAGUGUGCUGCUUGCCUGGAGCUAGAAUCCAGGAUGUGACCGAGUGUUUGCCGAGACUGAUCAAGACCUCGGACCGCUACCCCUUCCUACUUCUCCACGUGGGCACCUUGAGCAAAUCAUUGCACACUACGUGGCUCUGGGAAGAAGGAUAAAGGAGUUUGAGAUGCUGGUCGUGUUCUCAUCCAUCCUUCCUGUUAAAGGAAAAGGCCCAGAGUCUGCAGACAUGUCGACAUUUCAGGGGUAUCGGUAUCAAAGGCAGCUGUCAGAUCUACAGAAACAACAUGGAUAUUUGGUCUUCAUCCAUCAUCAAGAGAAGACUGACAACUGAAAUGAGAGCAACUUUCAACCACAGCAUCAAAUCCACCAUCUCUGGGCCCAGACCCUUAGAUCCCUUCCUCUUCCAAAAAAAUUAUUUGUGCAGCUCCUUCUCCAAAUAAGGUACAUGACCACUAGGGCUGACUUGGAGUCUGUUCCAAAUUCAAGCCACCCACGAAUCACGAAUCAAGGAAAUUAAAUACAAAUGCUCAAACAGUUAAAGUGCUUUAAGACUGUAAGUGGCUGUUCUUCCAACCACUUUCCAUGUGCAGUUCUAAUUUCCAACUCCUACUUCAGAGAAGUGAGAGCUAGCAGGGUUACUUGGCUUGUGAAUAUCCUGCUAACAUUUUAAACAGCAUCCAUAACACCCACCUUGCUACACAAUUGAAUUUCAAAGCCCUGGCAAUUGACAUGUUUACCAGAUGAUUUGGUUUUCCACCUGCCUGAGUUACUUGGCUUUUGAGAACAGGUGACGGAAUGAACUCUCCACCUUGUUCAAACAAGCUCAACCAAAACAGCGCAACUCCAUAGAUCUGCAGGAAUGUCCAGGCUCUGCCCAGUUCCCCCAGGCACUCGGUGUAACAGCUACAAUUAACACAGGGACUGCCCAAACCACCAGCAGGUGUUUUCUCCCAGAUAGGGAUUUACAGCUGGAAGUACAGGCUUAUUCAGGGUAUUAAAACUAUGCUCAGUAGAUGUCUCACAGACUAGUUCUGCUUGGCAGAGGGGAACAGCCUGCAUCAGCAAGACCAACAGAGGCUUGGUCUGCAGGAUAAUAUGAACAUAUGGACACACUGUUAAGCAUUUGAUGCUAUAAACAAGGAACAAUUCUGGAAGCUGUUCAUGGACCAUAGCAAAGAGGAGGAUUCCAGGGGCACUGAGGUCAGUUAGGCCUACAACAGUAAAAAGGGCAGAGUCUAUUCUUCAGCUCCCCUUCUGAAGAGAACUAAUGCCUAGAGCGGUGGUUCCCAAAGCAUGGCCCCCCAGUCACAUGAUGCUGGCUGGCUUUUCCUAUUUCUAGCGACCAAACUGCAUGAAAAGCAGCUAAAAAGACAGUAAGUAUUUCCUAGUGUUACCUUUCCAUGGCAGCCAUUGCGGUAAUUGCCACAUUUCUUCAGUCAGCAGAGGGGAGGCAGAGAGCAGGAUCAUGAAUUAGGAGGAAUGUCACUACAAGGAAUUUGAGACCCCUAGACCUGAAGAAUGAAGUCCAUGAGCCCUACGGGGUCCCUCAGGGAAGGAGAGGAAAAUCACAUUGUAUAUGCACCUCAAGUUACCCCAAAAAUGAUCCUGCCCAUGAACAUUCUCAAAGGCCCCGUUCAACGUGUCCAACAAUAACCAUGAUGCAUAAUUUCCUCUGUAUUAUGGCCAAGGAGAAGAGGUCACUGAUUUCCAGGACAGCUUUGGCUGUGCUCAUUCAACCACAGAACGGACUCAAGAAAGGAGUCAAACUACCCUGAUGCAAGUCCCAGUCCCAAAUGAGGUGGCUUCUCAUUAGUGCCUAUGCUGUAAAACUCCCCACAUCCCGAAAGCUACAUGGACAUCCCAGAACGUGAUCUAGUGGUUAGGGGACAAGGAAUCACAACUGCUAGGUUCCUUGAUUGGCUCUGCCACUGACUCACUGUGUGACCCUGGGAAAAAUCAUCAACUCUCUGGGCCUUCAUUUCCCUAUCUACAAGAUGGAGCCAUCGCAAUGUUUGCAGGGAUGGAGAGUGAGAGCUGGGUGUGUUUUAGAGGCAGGCUGGCUGGCUUCAAACAUUCCCCUACAAAGCCAUCCCGUAACGAGGCUGAGCGCCAGCCAACAUGCCAAUUCAGUUAUUCAGACAGAGGAAUUUCCCCAUUUGCAGAAUCUGCUCUCAACUGUUGUGUUUCUCCUCUCCUGGCGUUCUCCAGCACAGGACUAUUUUAACGGCUCAUUCUGUCCAGUCACAGAGCAAUUCCAACAGCCUGCUGGCAAGAGGAUGACUUUCAGUUAUCUGAUCCAGUCUGACAGAUGAGUUAUUAGUGCAUGCACCAAACCUCAAUGAGUGCAUGCUGCGCCCUCCUCCCUUUGCUAGGUCACUAACCAGAAGGCAGGGAUAAUAAAAAGGUAAGUGAGAUUAGCACAAGGGGAGAAGGAAGGGGGAGAAAGAGCUCACAGGCACCAAACACCCAAGCUACACUACAUCUCAUUCAUCAGUUCAACAUAAAUACAUGGUCUACUUAGAAAUUCAAACGUCUAAAGAGAAGUGGGGGCCAAAAUAAUCAAGGAGCUGUAAUCAGGGAGAGUGUAAAAUUAAAUUCACUUAGCUUAGAAUACAGUGACUCUAUAUAGCUACCCUUGCCUAGAAAGGUUAAUAGCUGUUUGCAAUUCCAUAGCAGGUAACGUAGCAAUCAAUGGUGUAGAAAAUGGAAACAAGGAAAUGGACCUGUUGGCACAUUUCUAGCAAGUGAAGAGUGAGUAGAGAGAGUCUGGAAGGUCCCAGGCACUUCUGAAUCACUUAGCCCACUGGUACGCCGACCUCAGUGGUUCUGGAGCCAAAUUAGGGAUCAGGUUUACCAAAAAGAGCCACAGCAGUGUAAAUUCAGUGUUUAAUUGACUAUAGUGCUAUAGAUUCAAACACAGUGUUUUCAUAUCAUGUGCUGCAAAGAGCCGCAGGAGAUGCAUCAAAGAGCCACUUGCCACUCAAGAGCCUCAGUCGGAGUAUCACUGACUUAGCCCUUUAAUUCUCCCCCAACUUAUUUUUGAUCCUUUUAGACCUACUGGCAAAAGCAAUAUUGUCCAUUGAUGACCAACUUCUGAGACCUACACAUUUCAGAGUGAUGGAUCAAAAGCUAAGGCCCAAAAUUUACUUCCUUUAAAAUAGCUACAACCGUCUGAGGAGCAUUCUAGAUUUUAAAAUUCACCAUUUCAGUCAUGAGACGUUGAAGUAAAUAAAAGCCGUUAUUUCUAUAGG